Molecule: ribosomal RNA, 497 nt
Filed under: uncultured bacterium
Lineage: Bacteria
Description: partial 16S ribosomal RNA
Rfam family: Bacterial small subunit ribosomal RNA
Source: RNAcentral
GAUGAACGCUGGCGGCGUGCCUAAUACAUGCAAGUCGAGCGAACAGACGAGGAGCUUGCUCCUCUGACGUUAGCGGCGGACGGGUGAGUAACACGUGGAUAACCUACCUAUAAGACUGGGAUAACUUCGGGAAACCGGAGAUAAUACCGGAUCAUAUAUUGAACCGCAUGGUUCAAUAGUGAAAGACGGUUUUGCUGUCACUUAUAGAUGGAUCCGCGCCGCAUUAGAUAGUUGGUAAGGUAACGGCUUACCAAGGCGACGAUGCGUAGCCGGCCUGAGAGGAUGAUCAGACACACUGGAACUGAGACACGGUCCCGACCUCUAAGGGAGGCAGCAGUUAGGAAUACUGCACAAUGGGCGGAAGCCUGAACCAGCCAUCCCGGGUGGGUGAAGAAGGGUUUCCGGUUGUAAAAACCUUUUGUUAGGGAAGAACAAAUGUGUAAGUAACUAUGCACGUCUUGACGGUACCUAAUCAGAAAGCCACGGCUAACUACGUG